This 206-nucleotide ribosomal RNA is filed under the name Prionopelta dubia. Its description in RNAcentral is "partial large subunit ribosomal RNA". The record is from RNAcentral. Lineage: Eukaryota; Metazoa; Arthropoda; Insecta; Hymenoptera; Formicidae.
GAAUUUUAUAAAUAAAUUAAAUUUUUAAUAUUUAUAAAAAUUUUUUUAUUUAUUUUAUUGGGAGGAUAAUUAAAUUAUAAUAACUUUAAUUGAUAAAAAUCAUUAAUUAAUGAAAAUUUGAAUAUGAUUUUGUAUAAUAAGAAUAAAUUACCUUAGGGAUAACAGCGUAAUAUUUUUAUUAAGAUCAUAUUUAAAAAAGUGUUUGC